Long non-coding RNA from Capsicum annuum, 2423 nucleotides. RefSeq lists it as uncharacterized. The transcript is spliced from 4 exons. The record is from RefSeq and is a predicted model, not a curated record. Lineage: Eukaryota; Viridiplantae; Streptophyta; Magnoliopsida; Solanales; Solanaceae.
UACAUAUUAGAAACCACGCUUAGCAGGGAUAUAUUUCAACAAAAAAUUCUUUUAACAACAACCAAAAAACAAACAAACAAAUCAAGUGAAAGUGCUUUUAUGUGUUUACAUAUUCUGCGGUAACAGUUUUUGGGCGAAUGCAUGUUGGCAUCAUUUGAGCAUCAAAUUAAAGUUAAUUAUUCGAAUCAAUUAUUCAAGCUUGGGUUCUACUAGCGUUAUUUUGAGACUUGGCAGAAAGACUUUUUAGCGUUGGCGUUCAGAUCCGAGUAUUAGCAGCCGUCAUUGACGUGAUUCCUACCUUCCAGUACUGAAUCGGAGCAAGAUCAGGAAAUUUAGAGAAAGAGGGGCACAACAGUUUCUACAAUGUUUCACGUUCAUCGCUUCAGAACAGAGUAUCUACGCUUCAGAUUGGACUCAUUCGGAGGUGAUUCGGAAGGAUAAAGCUUCCAUCUGAUUCUUUCGGUUUCGAGUUUACUUCUCCAGUCUUUGUUUAAGGCAAGUUGAGACUUUUCUUAGACUCUUUUUCAACGUGUUUAUUUGAAUAUUUGUUUGUUAUGUGUAAUGGGAGUAAUGAAAACUCGGGGGGUCCCGUAUAGAUGAUUGUGACCGAAGUUGCUUGGACUCUCCAAAAACGUUGCCGCAUCUGUGUCGGAUCCUUCAGAAAUACACUAUUUUUGGAGGAUCCGACACGCACCUGUAGACAUUUUUAAAGAGUCCGAGAAACUUAGAUUGUGACGAGCAUCUAUGCGGUUGCAGGUGUUGUUUGAGGGGAUAAAAUAAGUUAAUUGUAUGUUUGAACUGUUUUCCCCUAUGUGCUAGUCCGAUGGACUGAUUGGUUAUGGUACAUAAAUUAGUGAAAAAGUUGGUUAAUGAUGAUACUUGUACUUGAUAAGUUAACUUUGAAAUUGAUGUCUGAUCUGGUUUUAAGAUAAGAAGUGCUUUGCUUGAUUUUAUUGAUUAUUUGGGGUUGGAGUUGCACGUCUGCACAUCAUGCAUUGCAUUUUAUAUGAGAUCGGAGUGCACCCCUGCACAAAUAUUUAUUGGGAUCGGAGUGCAGCCCUACGCAGUAUAUUUAUUGGGAGUGGAGUGCAUGCCUGAACAAUAUACAUAUUGGGGUCGGAAUGCACGCCUGUAUAGUAUAUGCAUUUGCAUUGAUUCAGAUUGGUUAAAGUAUAUUUGUUGACCUUGUACUUAUUAUGUAUGUGUUAUUUAUUUCCCUGGAUUGAGAAAUUCUUGGAUUGUGGUAUGAUAUGCUUAUGACUGUUAAACUUGACUAUUCAGCUAGAUUAAGGUGGCCUUUCUGAGUGCAGGUUGUGUGUUUGUUUUUAGAUGAUUUAUGUGGUGUCACUCGUCACCACUUUGAAUUAGGGUCGGUCGACGAUGCUUGCUGAGUACACGUGGUUCCUUACUCACUCUUGCUUUUUCUGCAACCUACGUGCAAGUACAGAUCUGACGACCUCUGAAUAUUGAUCCCUGUGGUUCCUCUUUGCUAGCAUCAUCGGUGAUUCGAGGUAGUCGCCACUGGCUUUAGAGACUACUGAAAUCUCCUUCAGCCUUAUUCUUAUGCAUUUUCCGCAUUUUGAAAGACUCAAAUUUUCUUUUGUUUCUAUAUUUUAGUGGCUUGUAUUAGUGACUUUCAGACCUGAGACCAUCUACGAAUUGAUUUUACUAGUCUAUUUAUCUACUUUUGAGAUUAUUCAGGAUUGGUUAUAUUCUUACUUUCUUCCGUUUCUAUGAGUUUGAGACGUUCUUGGAAUUUCGUUUUUGGCUUACCUAUCAGGGAGGAUGGAAUAGGUGCCAUCAUGGUCCCGAAUUUUGGGCUGUGACAGAUGUACACCAGACAUUAGAGCAGUGACAAAAACCGCAACUGAAAUCUUUUCCGGAAAGCUUUCCAUGGCUUUAGAUAUGACGAAUCCACUAAAUCUAUAACCUACAAGAACCACUUUUUCACGUGCAGGAAGAGAAGCCAUGAACUCCAUUAGCCGACUGAAGUAAACAGAUAAAUGUGGGAUUUCAAGGACCUGCUUCGGGUUGAUCCCUGAAGCAUACCUGUGACAUUAUGCCCCGAAGAUCCCAUCAAUGCCAUAAUCUUGUACCAAGAUCGGGCUCCAUCGCAUCCCCACGAAGUGUUUGUUAGCUUUAGGGCAUCUAGGCUUGGACAGCAUUGCAUUGCCAUACGGCAAGAGAAGUAUCAGAAAUCAGGUAUUUGCUUUUCUCAAUAGUUUUUUUCCUUUCUUUUGAACUAUGAGCUGUUGUAAACAUGGGAUCAUAUAAUUAGAGGAGUUGACUUUUACAACUUCCAUGAUGAAGAAACCCCAGGUGAAAAUGAGGUAUUGAGUUGUAUUUUCUAAUUAGCAUCCACUAAGUCAAUUAGAUGAAGAUGUUCUAAUUAAUUGAAUUAUUGAUCCUAAAGAUUUUAGCCA